This 677-nucleotide ribosomal RNA is filed under the name uncultured beta proteobacterium. RNAcentral describes it as "bacterial SSU rRNA". It matches the Rfam family "Bacterial small subunit ribosomal RNA", at positions 406 to 1070 of the family's 1533-position model. Lineage: Bacteria; Pseudomonadati; Pseudomonadota; Betaproteobacteria. The record is from RNAcentral.
UGUAGAAGGCCUUCGGUUUGUAAAGCUCUUUCGGCCGGGAAGAAAUCGCAUGGGUGAAUACCCUGUGUGGAUGACGGUACCGGAACAAGAAGCACCGGCUAACUACGUGCCAGCAGCCGCGGUAAUACGUAGGGUGCGAGCGUUAAUCGGAAUUACUGGGCGUAAAGCGUGCGCAGGCGGUUUGGUAAGACAGGCGUGAAAUCCCCGGGCUUAACCUGGGAACUGCGCUUGUGACUGCCAGGCUAGAGUACGGCAGAGGGGGGUGGAAUUCCACGUGUAGCAGUGAAAUGCGUAGAGAUGUGGAGGAACACCAAUGGCGAAGGCAGCCCCCUGGGUCGAUACUGACGCUCAUGCACGAAAGCGUGGGUAGCAAACAGGAUUAGAUACCCUGGUAGUCCACGCCCUAAACGAUGUCAACUAGGUGUUGGGUGGGUAAAACCAUUUAGUACCUGUAGCUAACGCGUGAAGUUGACCGCCUGGGGAGUACGGCCGCAAGGUUAAAACUCAAAGGAAUUGACGGGGACCCGCACAAGCGGUGGAUGAUGUGGAUUAAUUCGAUGCAACGCGAAAAACCUUACCUACCCUUGACAUGCCAGGAACUUGCCAGAGAUGGCUUGGUGCCCGAAAGGGAGCCUGGACAACAGGUGCUGCAUGGCUGUCGUCAGCUCGUUCGGUGA